AAACGUCGCUCCGCAAGUGGUGCCCGCGUAUAUUGGGCCUAAAGCGUCCGUAGCCGGUCCGGUAAGUCCCCUUUUAAAUCGGCGGGCUUAACCCGUCGGCUGCAGGGGAUACUGCCGGGCUCGGGACCGGGAGAGGCCGGGGGUAUUCCCGGGGUAGGGGUUAAAUCCUGUAAUCCCGGGAGGACCACCUGUGGCGAAGGCGCCCGGCCAGAACGGGUCCGACGGUGAGGGACGAAAGCUGGGGGAUCAAACCGGAUUAGAAACCCGAGUAGUCC
RNAcentral lists this ribosomal RNA (275 nucleotides) under uncultured bacterium. Its description in RNAcentral is "partial 16S ribosomal RNA". It matches the Rfam family "Archaeal small subunit ribosomal RNA", at positions 472 to 747 of the family's 1478-position model. The record is from RNAcentral.